AAUGUUUCAACAACCAAUUCUUCCUUAAUCAUAAACUAACCAAGAAAUGUUUGUUGAUUGAUUCUUGUUGAUCAAACAGUCCUGGGAAUGUUCUCAAGGUUUAACUCAUCAAUAGCUUUGAGAACUAGAAGAACCUGGUUCUGAUCGUUGAACUCAACUACAUGACCUGCUCAACUAGAGUGCCUUUUCUCUUAGUUUAAGAACUAGUCGCCAUUGUGUAUCAAGACAGCUUAAAUAAU
RNAcentral lists this long non-coding RNA (239 nucleotides) under Carica papaya (papaya). Its description in RNAcentral is "long non-coding RNA (CPAP_LNC009669)". Lineage: Eukaryota; Viridiplantae; Streptophyta; Magnoliopsida; Brassicales; Caricaceae. The record is from RNAcentral.